GUGCUCGCACUGACAGCACACAUCCUAAAAUUGGGACGAUACAGAGAAGAUUGGCAUGGCCCCUGUGCAAGUGUGACGUGCAGAUUCGCGAAGUGUUUAUUGUCUGG
Suricata suricatta (meerkat) is the source of this 107-nucleotide small nuclear RNA. The record is from Ensembl. NCBI's taxonomy places the organism in Eukaryota, Metazoa, Chordata, Mammalia, Carnivora, Herpestidae.